This 2554-nucleotide long non-coding RNA is filed under the name Marmota monax (woodchuck). The record is from RNAcentral. Lineage: Eukaryota; Metazoa; Chordata; Mammalia; Rodentia; Sciuridae.
GGAGCAGGGACAGGAGAGAGGCCUUUUGAUAAAGUAAUCUGUGAAAGAAGGGAGGGGAGAUUGGAAAGGGCACUGGAUUCAGGCAGGCCCUGUAGGAUCAGAUUUGGUUGGAUCAGGUGAGGGCACAUAAGUAUAGAGGGUGGCUCACAGAGAGGCCUGUCAUGGCAGGGACUGUUUUUAGAGGUUCAUGUUCCCAGUGCAGAGCACUGUCCUCUAUUUCUCUGCUCUCUAUCCAACGCUAUUCCUCAUCCUGCUGUGGCAAUGUUUCUGCCCAGGCUCCCCUUGAAAGCUGCCAGCUGAGUGUGGAGAAAAAGGCCAAAGGGAAAGUUAGGGUUUUGGGGGAUUGGAGGGCAGGGACAAAUUCUGUGGGUGGUGGCAAGAUUAGAGACAUUGGAGAAGCAGGAACCUAAGCCCUUGUUCUGUGUGUGUGCAAUUGUGUGUAUACAGGGUGUGUACAUGUGUGGGUGUGUGCACAAUGCCUAUGUUACGGGUCUGUGUAGGUGGCUGUGAUGUGUGUGCAUGCGUGUAUACAUCGUGCAGGGGAUGGGACGUGGAGACCCAGCAACUCAGUGUAUGCUUUUCAGGUUUGCUCUGUGAAUGUGUAAGACUGUGUUCUGUGUUCUCUGUACAUGUUGCUGCAUAUAGCACUAAUAACAGGAUGUCCUGUGUUUCUGUCACUCUGCCUGCCUUUCCUCUGUGUUUCUCUUAUUCUUUUCUUUGCAGUAAUGAGAGUGUUUGUAAGCAUGUGUCUAUGUGGCCUUCAUGUACCUGUGACUUAAGUGUGAGUUCAUAGGUUUUAGCUCCUGGUGAUAUGUAUAAGGUUAUAUUAUCUCCAAGAAUCAAGCAAACCAGGUACCAAAUUCUUUUUUCUUCUGGUAAUGCUUUGGUUCCAAAGCAGAAUUUUAGUGGAUUCAAAGUUAGACUUUAUGCCUUUAUUAGAGGAGCUCGUAUGUAAAAAUAAUGGCUGAGCUAGGUUCCCUGAAAUGAAAAUGGGGCAGCUCUACCUUGAAAAGCUGAGAAAUGUGACUAGGAGGAAGAUAUUUGGCCCUGGGAUGCACUGUGUAGUGUAUAACAGAAAGAUAAUGCAUUUGCUCCUUGGUAGCAAUCAUGGAUGCCGGUGUUGGAGGCAGGGAAGAACUGGGGAAGGAGAAGGAGGUUGUCCUGAGACAGAGUGGAUGUGAUUGCGCUUUUCAUGUGAAUGAAGGAUUUUGUCCUUUGGGAAUAUGGGGGAAACCUUUAUGUGGUUGGGAUCAUAGUGUAUGUAUUGUACAGGGAUGGAAUAUGGUGUAUUCAAGUAUGUGUCCCAGGGGUUAAACUGGUAUUCUCCUAUGUGGGGGACAUGUGUAUGUCUUCAGGUUCAUGUCCAUUUCUGUAAUGUGCGCUUGCAUGAUUGCCCAGAAGACUCAGGCCACAAAACCCACAUUAGUGGCUCACAUGUGGGUGUUUUGGUUCAAGUAUGUACACCACUGUUGCAGUGUUCACACAUGUGUAAGCAUGUAGGGUGUGUGGGCCUCAAAGUCUGAGAAUAUGGACCUGUGCUCACAGCUGUCUGUAUGUCUCAUAAGCACAUAGAUCCUUAUUUAUUUUUGUAUUGUGGUUCUGAUAUACACAUACCCCCACAGCUCAGUGUAUGUUUCUGUGUUCUACACGUGUUCCUGAGGGACUGAUAGGGACCUUGUAUGAUGGGAUCCAGAUUUUGUGUGCAAACCUCUAAUGCUUGGGUUUUACAGGUAAAGGGAAGCUAGGGACUGAUUCUAGGGCAACUUGGGGGCAAUUUGCACUUCUGGAAGCAGACAGUGGAAAUGUAGUAUGGCCCUCUUUUGUUUUGUUCUGGAACCUUGAGGGUUAACAGGCAGCUCUUCCGGUCCACCUCCCCUCCAGCCUGUAGCUUCUUGUUGCCGUGGAGAUGGUGGCCCCGCCCCUGAUGCAGCACCUGCCCCCCCAUUGGCUGCAGUGGUGACUGUGGGGCUGAGGGGGGAGCCCAGGCCUGGGCAGCCAUUCUGGAGCUGAAGCCGGAGCUUGGCAUCCCCCCCCACUUUCAUUCUCCUCCAGCCCCUUGGCCCCUCUAAAUUCCCUGGCAGCAGAGCCUCAGCUUCCCUCUUUGGAUCUGCCAUCCCUCUAGGCUCUUGGCAGGCUGAGCUUCAUCCGCAUUCACCUCCCCUCCUCCUCCUCUCCUAAACCUUAGUUGGGAGUCCCCAGCACCCCCUAAUCCUCCCCACUCCCUGCCCACUCCCCUGCAUUCUUUUCUUUUCUUCUUCCCCCUUCCCUUCUAAGUCCCUGCCACUGCAGUGCACGUGGAACCGGCUCCUUUCUCCCCACCCCCCCAUCUGCCUCUUAGAUUUUCUCUCUCCAGCUUCUCCCCCAGCCACUCCUCACAGGUCCCUUCUAAGACUUCCCCCUCCGUCCAGGGAGGGGGUCAUGGGAGGCAGCCCUGGCCCUCCAGACCAACAGGGGUCUGGGAGGUGCAGGGCAGGUAGAAGAUGUCCCCAGAGAGAAGGGGAAAGCCAGCCUAUGGGCAAUGACCUUUAACCCAUCUUUCCCCCCCAGCUAGCCC